GAUGAACGCUGGCGGCGUGCCUAAUACAUGCAAGUCGAGCGAACGGACGAGAAGCUUGCUUCUCUGAUGUUAGCGGCGGACGGGUGAGUAACACGUGGAUAACCUACCUAUAAGACUGGGAUAACUUCGGGAAACCGGAGCUAAUACCGGAUAAUAUUUUGAACCGCAUGGUUCAAAAGUGAAAGACGGUCUUGCUGUCACUUAUAGAUGGAUCCACGCUGCAUUAGCUAGUUGGUAAGGUAACGGCUUACCAAGGCAACGAUGCAUAGCCGACCUGAGAGGGUGAUCGGCCACACUGGAACUGAGACACGGUCCAGACUCCUACGGGAGGCAGCAGUAGGGAAUCUUCCGCAAUGGGCGAAAGCCUGACGGAGCAACGCCGCGUGAGUGAUGAAGGUCUUCGGAUCGUAAAACGCUGUUAUUAGGGAAGAACAUAUGUGUAAGUAACUGUGCACAUCUUGACGGUACCUAAUCAGAAAGCCACGGCUAACUACGU
This 496-nucleotide ribosomal RNA is filed under the name uncultured bacterium. Its description in RNAcentral is "partial 16S ribosomal RNA". It matches the Rfam family "Bacterial small subunit ribosomal RNA", at positions 28 to 506 of the family's 1533-position model. The record is from RNAcentral.